Phrynosoma platyrhinos (Desert horned lizard) is the source of this 69-nucleotide non-coding RNA. Lineage: Eukaryota; Metazoa; Chordata; Lepidosauria; Squamata; Phrynosomatidae. The record is from the annotation of a GenBank genome assembly.
CCAGCUGUGGUGUAGUGGUUUGAGCACUGCACUAUGACUCUGGAGACCAAGGUUCGAAUCCCGGCUGGG